Molecule: ribosomal RNA, 465 nt
Filed under: uncultured bacterium
Lineage: Bacteria
Description: partial 16S ribosomal RNA
Rfam family: Bacterial small subunit ribosomal RNA
Source: RNAcentral
GACGAACGCUGGCGGCGUGCUUAACACAUGCAAGUCGAACGGAAAGGCCCUGCUUGCAGGGUACUCGAGUGGCGAACGGGUGAGUAACACGUGGGUGAUCUGCCCUGCACUUCGGGAUAAGCCUGGGAAACUGGGUCUAAUACCGGAUAGGAGCCAUUAUCAGAGAGAUGGUUGGAAAGGUUUUUCGGUGUAGGAUGAGCUCGCGGCCUAUCAGCGUGUUGGUGGGGGAAUGGCCUACCAAGGCGGCGACGGGUAGCCGGCCUGAGAGGGUGGACGGCCACAGUGGGACUGGGAUACGGCCCAGACUCCUACGGGAGGCAGAAGUGGGGAAGAGUGCACAAUGGGAGCAAGCCUGAUGCAGCGACGCCGCGUGGGGGAUGACGGCCUUCGGGUUGUAAACUCCUUUCGCUAGGGACGAAGCUUUUUGUGACGGUACCUAGAUAAGAAGCACCGGCUAACUACGUG